RNAcentral lists this ribosomal RNA (274 nucleotides) under uncultured bacterium. RNAcentral describes it as "partial 16S ribosomal RNA". It matches the Rfam family "Bacterial small subunit ribosomal RNA", at positions 523 to 796 of the family's 1533-position model. The record is from RNAcentral.
AUACGGAGGGUGCAAGCGUUACUUGGAAUCACUGGGCGUAAAGCGCGCGCAGGCGGUCUUUUAAGUUGGAUGUGAAAGCCUACGGCUCAACCGUAGAACUGCAUCCAAAACUAUUAGACUAGAGUGUGGGAGAGGAAGAUGGAAUUAGUUGUGUAGGGGUAAAAGCCGUAGAGAUAACUAGGAAUACCAAAAGCGAAGGCAAUCUUCUGGAACACUACUGACGCUGAGGCGCGAAAGCGUGGGGAGCAAACGGGAUUAGAAACCCCGGUAGUCC